UAUAAAGCUAUGAAGAGGACUAGUAGUAAGGAUGUCUGUUUUAGAGAGCGAAUGGUUGGUGGAAAUUCGCACAGAACACUUGUGAACUCACCUUGGAGUUGCAGUUGUGAAACUUUAGUAAUGGCUGCCGUAUUUCUUGCGUUAAAAGAAUGGAGAGGUAAGACUGGUUUUUUGUCUUACAACUAAGGUGGUACCGCGUUUAUGACGUCCUUAGA
This 215-nucleotide non-coding RNA is filed under the name Turicibacter sanguinis. Its description in RNAcentral is "T-box sequence". It matches the Rfam family "T-box leader". From Rfam's summary of the family: Uncharged tRNA acts as the effector for transcription antitermination of genes in the T-box leader family. T-boxes are found upstream of many aminoacyl-tRNA synthetase genes and some amino acid biosynthetic genes usually in Gram-positive bacteria. Lineage: Bacteria; Bacillati; Bacillota; Erysipelotrichia; Erysipelotrichales; Turicibacteraceae. The record is from RNAcentral.